GAGAGCAGAGAGCAGGGGUUAUUGCUGACAGGGCCUAUCCAGGGUCCUAUAGAAUCACCCCAGGGUGCAUAUUUCAACUACUACACAACCCUGAGAGAAACAGAGAGAGAUGGAGAGAACAGAGAGAGGUGGAGAGAACAGAAAGAGAAGGAGAGAAACAGGGAGAUAUGGAGAUAAAUUGAGAGAGAUGGAGAGAACAUAAAGAGAUGGAGAGAAACAGAGAGAGAUGGAGAGAAGCAGAGAGAGGUGGAGAGAAACAGAGAGAGAUGGAGAGAAGCAGAGAGAGGUGGAGAGAAACAGAGAGAGGUGGAGAGAAACAGAGAGGCAGAGAGAGAUGGAGAGAAGCAGAGAGAGAUGGAGAGAAACAGAGAGAAGUAGAGAAACAGAGAGAGAUAGAGAUAGAUGGAAGGAAACAGAGAGAGACGG
RNAcentral lists this long non-coding RNA (426 nucleotides) under Salmo salar (Atlantic salmon). Its description in RNAcentral is "lncRNA (ENSSSAG00000098749.1)". Lineage: Eukaryota; Metazoa; Chordata; Actinopteri; Salmoniformes; Salmonidae. The record is from RNAcentral.